Long non-coding RNA from Daphnia magna, 820 nucleotides. RefSeq lists it as uncharacterized. The record is from RefSeq and is a predicted model, not a curated record. The transcript has 2 exons. Lineage: Eukaryota; Metazoa; Arthropoda; Branchiopoda; Diplostraca; Daphniidae.
GAGGGCGCAUAUUCCGUGAGUGGUCUUGGAGAACGAUGACCGGCAAUUCAACAAAGCGGUAUAGUAAAUUCACGAACUUCUUUUCUCACAUUGGAUGUAGUGUGUGUGUGUUGGCUGUGGUGUCCGUGUAACCGCACUGAAAAUGUUUGGGAGCCAGAAGGGGAGCCUGUUGUGUGUGUGGGGGAUGAUUACGACGAUGAUUUGCCUUUUUUUCUUUCCCACUAUAGUAAACCAAAAGGCUACUUUACUUGCCUAACAAAAGUAAAUCAAACAAGCAAACGAUAAAGUUAGAAAAGAGCCAAACUAAAAAAAGGGGAAAAAAUACGGGAACAACUCGGUGGUGACUGACAGUCAAAUGGCCAAACUCCCGAGGAUAGAAAAAAAAAAAUGAAAACGAUUGCCACAAAAGUCUAAAUGACGUAACGCCAGCUGUUGUGCGAUGGCAAUCGCACUACGUCGACGUAGACAGCAACAGCGUGUUGAUUCAGAUGGGAAGGUCAUUUGCUUGUUGUGCCUUGCUAUAUUAUCAAGUGCCUGUCUUCAAUCUGGAUUCGUCUGCUAUUGGGGAGCCGAUUUUGACGAUGGGGCCUAAUCGCUUUCACUUGAUGGCGAAUAUAUAAGACGGGAUUGAAAAAACAACUAAAUCUAGUCUACUACUUUGAGAUCUUUCCGCCGGAUCAUCAAGACAUGACCGAUGAGAGCGGCGAUCACGAUCAUCCAUGACGUCGACGACAGCCGUCUGGCACAACUCGAUCGAUGCACUGCCGCCUGUUCGUGACCUAUUCAUACGAAACACAAAUAAAAAUAAAUUGUCAUCAAC